UGGGGAAUAUUGCACAAUGGACGAAAGUCUGAUGCAGCAACGCCGCGUGGAGGAUGACACAUUUCGGUGCGUAAACUCCUUUUAUAUAGGAAGAUAAUGACGGUACUAUAUGAAUAAGCACCGGCUAACUCCGUGCCAGCAGCCGCGGUAAUACGGAGGGUGCAAGCGUUACUCGGAAUCACUGGGCGUAAAGAGCGUGUAGGCGGGUAUAUAAGUCAGAAGUGAAAUCCUAUAGCUUAACUAUAGAACUGCUUUUGAAACUGUAUACCUAGAAUGUGGGAGAGGUAGAUGGAAUUUCUGGUGUAGGGGUAAAAUCCGUAGAGAUCAGAAGGAAUACCGAUUGCGAAGGCAGCCAUCUGGCCUAAUACUGACGCUGAGGUACGAAAGCAUGGGGAGCAAA
This 400-nucleotide ribosomal RNA is filed under the name uncultured bacterium. RNAcentral describes it as "bacterial SSU rRNA". It matches the Rfam family "Bacterial small subunit ribosomal RNA", at positions 355 to 772 of the family's 1533-position model. The record is from RNAcentral.